Molecule: transfer RNA, 73 nt
Filed under: Tribonema minus
Lineage: Eukaryota; Xanthophyceae; Tribonematales; Tribonemataceae
Rfam family: tRNA
About the family: Transfer RNA (tRNA) molecules are approximately 80 nucleotides in length.
Source: Rfam by way of RNAcentral
GGUCGCAUGGCGCAAUUGGUAGCGCGUAGCUCUGAUAAGGCUAAGGUCGCGGGUUCGAGCCCCGUUGUGACUA